CGUCCCUGGCAAUGAGCAAAGAGACACCUUGUUGGUGGUGGUGGUCUUAUAUCAGUCAGGGCAAAGCAGAUGGUAGUCCUUUGUUCAUCCUAGUUUGAUGCCUGGGUUGGUGGUCACAGCUGUUUUAUGCCUAGGAUAUAUAA
Molecule: small nucleolar RNA, 143 nt
Organism: Psammomys obesus (fat sand rat)
Lineage: Eukaryota; Metazoa; Chordata; Mammalia; Rodentia; Muridae
Product: small nucleolar RNA SNORA48
Exons: 1
Source: RefSeq, a predicted model, not a curated record